RNAcentral lists this unclassified non-coding RNA (201 nucleotides) under uncultured fungus. RNAcentral describes it as "partial contains 18S rRNA, ITS1, 5.8S rRNA, ITS2 and 28S rRNA". Lineage: Eukaryota; Fungi. The record is from RNAcentral.
AAGGAUCAUUACAGAGUUCAUGCCCUUCGGGGUAGACCUCCCACCCUUUGUAUACAUUGCCUUUGUUGCUUUGGCGGGCCGCCUUUUGGCCAUCGGCUUCGGCUGGUGCGUGCCCGCCAGAGACCCCCAAACCCUGUUUUACAGUGUCGUCCGAGUACUAUAUAAUAGUUAAAACUUUCAACAACGGAUCUCUUGGUUCUG